This 253-nucleotide ribosomal RNA is filed under the name uncultured prokaryote. RNAcentral describes it as "partial 16S ribosomal RNA". It matches the Rfam family "Bacterial small subunit ribosomal RNA", at positions 525 to 777 of the family's 1533-position model. The record is from RNAcentral.
GCGUAGGGACCGAGCGUUGUCCGGAUUUAUUGGGCGUAAAGCGCGCGCAGGCGGCCGUGCAAGUCGGGUGUGAAAUCCCCAGGCUUAACCUGGGAACUGCAUUCGAGACUGCAUUGCUAGAGUAUGGGAGAGGGAAGUGGAAUUUCAGGUGUAGCGGUGAAAUGCGUAGAUAUCUGAAGGAACAUCAGUGGCGAAAGCGACUUCCUGGACCAAUACUGACGCUCAUGUGCGAAAGCGUGGGGAGCAAACAGGA